RNAcentral lists this ribosomal RNA (344 nucleotides) under uncultured bacterium. RNAcentral's name for it is "partial 16S ribosomal RNA". It matches the Rfam family "Bacterial small subunit ribosomal RNA", at positions 338 to 679 of the family's 1533-position model. The record is from RNAcentral.
CCUACGGGUGGCUGCAGUGAGGAAUAUUGGUCAAUGGGCGAGAGCCUGAACCAGCCAAGUCGCGUGAAGGAUGAAGGAUCUAUGGGUUGUAAACUUCUGGUAUAAGGGAAUAAAGUGAGGAACGUGUGCCUUUUUGUAUGUACCAUAUGAAUAAGGAUCGGCUAACUCCGUGCCAGCAGCCGCGGUAAUACGGAGGAAGCGAGAGUUAUCCGGAUUUAUUGGGUUUAAAGGGGGCGUAGGGGGUUACUUAAGUCAGCGGUGAAAGUUUGAGGCUCAACCGUAAAAUUGCCGUUGAUACUGGUUGCCUUGAGUAUAUUUGAGGUAGGCGGAAUGCGUGGUGUAGC